RNAcentral lists this ribosomal RNA (493 nucleotides) under uncultured bacterium. RNAcentral describes it as "partial 16S ribosomal RNA". It matches the Rfam family "Bacterial small subunit ribosomal RNA", at positions 29 to 507 of the family's 1533-position model. The record is from RNAcentral.
AGUGAACGCUGGCGGUAGACCUAACACAUGCAAGUCGAACGGCAGCACAGUAUGCGCUUGCUAUUACGGGUGGCGAGUGGCGGGCGGGUGAGGAAUACAGCGGAAUCUACUUUUUCGUGGGGGAUAACGUAGGGAAACUUACGCUAAUACCUCAAACGACCUACGGGUGAAAGCAGGGGAUAUUCGGACCUUGCGCGAUUGAAUGAGCCGGUGUCGGAUUAGUUAGUUGGCGGGGUAAAGGCCCACCCAAGCGAACAUUCGUAGCUGGUCUGAGAGGGUGGAUCACCCACAUUGGAAUGAAACCACGGUCCAGACCCCUACGGGAGGCACAAGUGGGGAUUAUUGGACAAGGGGGGCAAGCCGGACCCAGACAGCCCGCGUGGGGGAAGAAGGCCUUCGGGUUUUAAAGCCCUUUUGUUGGGAAAGAAAAUCAGCAGGUUAAUACCCCGCUGUUCUGACGGUACCCAAAGAAAAAGCAACGGCUAACUUCGUG